AUGAAAAUCAUGUGAUAAUUUUCUGCUUACAAUGUCGCAGUAUACAAUAUUUGAAUAGCCGUUGUCUUGCGACGCACGUCUGCCUUAUGCGAUAUUGAGUCGAUACGUUUUGGACACAUUGAUGUGAACAUAACCUCCGUUAGAGUUUGCACGACACUUUCAUAACAUCGUCCAUUCGCAGCUCUAUCGGCUCACAUUCUUUCGUUUGCCGCACGACAGCUGUCACGAGAGAUUUAUUCCGUGACUGUAUACAAACCCACAUUCGAUUACAGACUUCGGCUCAGCGUUUUGUUUUAUUUUAUUGUGAAUUGUGAAAGCAACGUGCGCCAUGGUUUUCGAAACAUCGCAGUUAGUAAACCAGAUUCAAGAAAAACCAGAUUCGAAACCACGAAAAACUGGUAAAAUUUCAUUUCAAAAGCGGCUCAACAACCGAAGCAGAAUCCGGAAGCAAUCGGAUUCUUUGAUUCAGCUGAACACGGAUGUUGCUGAGGAAUUGGUGAAUUUACAAAGCACAGCAAACGUGUCAAUUCCCCAAAUACCAUUCCAACAGAUGGUCGAAUCGGAAGAAAUCACGAAAUCCAAAGAUGUGGUCUACUCAGAUGAUAAAUGUGACAUUGAUUUUCUUGAGAGCGACAUUCUCAUGAAAAUACUAUCGCAGGAGUCAAGCAUAUCAAAUGUGGCCAGCAAAGAUGAAGCCAACGAAGACACAGAGCAAUCGAACAUAGUUUCGUUCGAAGGGACGAAUGCUGGUCAACGUCGGUCGAGGAAGCAAACCAAAUCGAAGCGCAAAGAUCGUGUUGCAAGGGAAAUGAUAAGACUACAACACACCACAAAUUUGCUGAUUCCGAAGUUACCAUUCCAACGAUUGGUACGUGAAGUUUUGAUGAAAUACAGACAUGAUUUUCGUAUGCAAUCAAGUACAUUGGAAUGUCUACAGGAAGCGGCCGAAAGUUAUUUGGUGCAACUAUUCCAAGACUGCUAUUUGUGCUGCUUGCAUCGUUCUCGCGUCACAUUGACAGAAAAAGAUGUCCGACUUGUUCAGCUUCUACGCGUCUCGACCGAUGUAGGUCGGCGAUAAGACUUAAUUCAUUAAUCACAUAAAAAAUCAAUAUUUUCUAUUGCGUGUUUCGUUUGCUAUUCCUUUGAAAUUACACAAGUUUUGUGUUUUUAAACUUGACAGUAUAACAAUAAAGGUUUAUAAUCGAAAAUAAUACCAACACCAAAUCUUUUUGUAUUUUUAUGGUAAAAAUGGAUUUGCGACCAGAUAUUUUGCGACCAAUUGGCAUAAUAAUACCGGUAUGAACGUUGAAGUUUUUUAGAUACAAUAUAUUACCGCAUUUUAACGGAUAGAUGUAAUAAAAUGAGAUUUCAGCUCGAUUAAUAAAUGUUGUGAUGUUAUUGUUGGCCAUCGUUUCAAACAGAUUGUUAAGUUUGUGUUAAGUAGUUUUGUUUUCUUCGUGCAAUCGAUACAUACAAGCCGUGUUUGAAAUUGAAUGUCAGUGUGAACAUAACCUUCGUUAAAGGAUGAACGGUAUAUCGUCGCAUUAUUGUCACCACGCAUUUGCCAUUCGUCAUUUGCUUGUAGAUGUUCUAAGUUCGCAUAUUUUGUCGCACUGUACCGAAGAUAGCUAACCUAUCUUUGAAUUUCGUAACUUUAUGCAAACUCAUAUUCGUUUAAAUUAUUCUGCGAGACGUUUUAACACAUUUUUGUGACUUGUAAGCAAUGUGCGCCAAGGUUCGGUCUAUCGUCAAAAUGCAGCCAGUAAAAAGAACUUCGUCCCGAAUUGCAGCGGCCUACAGUAAUAAAAUCCCUGAUAGCUCACAACAAUCCGAAUCGCGAAAAACUGGCAAAAUUUCAAUCCAUCAGAGCAUUAUACACCGACGUCAAACUAGAAACCAAUCUGUUACAAAGAAGUUAAUAAAUUGCGUCGCAAAGGAAUCGGCGAGUUUACAAAACACCCAGAAAUUGUCCAUUCCCCAAAUACAACAGCAACAAAAUGUUGAAUCGGAGGCUGGCACUCUAUCUAACAAUGUUGUCGAUUCAGAUGACGAUUGUGACAUUGAUUACCUUGGGCGACCACCAUCAGUGGAUCCAAGUGACUCAAAUGAGGACACUGACGGCGAUGAAACUGACGACAGCACCGAAAAAUCAAAGCGACCGGGCAUUAAUCGCGAACGAUUGCAAAAACUGACCAAAAUCGAUGGGCUUGGGCACUCAGACAUGGACACAGGCCAUGUUGCGAAAGACACAUCCGAAUUAGAAAACACAUCCGAACUGGUCAUUCCACGGUCGACAUUCCAAAAUUUGGUACGUGAAAUUAUGCAACAACAACAAAAAGAUGAUUUUCGAAUGCAGUCCACUACUUUGGAAUGUCUACAGGCUGCAACCGAGCAGAUUCUUAUUCAAUAUUUCGAAGACAUCAAUUCUGUUCCAGAUUCUCCACAAACAUUGGUUGAAGCACGAAUGAAAUUCAUGGUUAUGAAUUACUAUUUGAAUUUCAUGCAAAAGAAUGAAUGAACCAAACCGAAUGAAACCCAUUUUGGAACAAUUCAGUUGAAUAGAGUUAAGAAGACACGUACAUAAAAAAGAUUAUUCAUUUAUAUAUUUUGCGUUACUUUGUGAUCACCAAAAAUGCAUUCGAAUGCAUGAAACUUUGGUGACUUUUUGGCUGGCCCUCACUUUAAAUUAAAAAAUUCCAUGUAAACUUAGAGAAAAAGGUCGAGAAAUUAAAAAAAAUAUUUUGUUUAUACAUUGGCUUCUA
Sitodiplosis mosellana (orange wheat blossom midge) is the source of this 2762-nucleotide RNA transcript. RefSeq lists it as uncharacterized. The transcript has 5 exons. Lineage: Eukaryota; Metazoa; Arthropoda; Insecta; Diptera; Cecidomyiidae. The record is from RefSeq and is a predicted model, not a curated record.